Molecule: ribosomal RNA, 260 nt
Filed under: uncultured bacterium
Lineage: Bacteria
Description: partial 16S ribosomal RNA
Rfam family: Bacterial small subunit ribosomal RNA
Source: RNAcentral
CGUAGGUCCCCGAGCGUUGUCCGGAUUUAUUGGGGCGUAAAAGCGAGCGCAGGCGGUUUGAUAAGUCUGAAGUUAAAAGGCUGUGGCUCAACCAUAGUUCGCUUUGGAAACUGUCAAAACUUGAGUGCAGAAGGGGAGAGUGGAAUUCCAUGUGUAGCGGUGAAAUGCGUAGAUAUAUGGAGGAACACCGGUGGCGAAAAGCGGCUCUCUGGUCUGUAACUGACGCUGAGGCUCGAAAGCGUGGGGGAGCGAACAGGAUU